Anguilla anguilla (European eel) is the source of this 2127-nucleotide long non-coding RNA. RefSeq lists it as uncharacterized. The transcript is spliced from 2 exons. NCBI's taxonomy places the organism in Eukaryota, Metazoa, Chordata, Actinopteri, Anguilliformes, Anguillidae. The record is from RefSeq and is a predicted model, not a curated record.
GGGUGAACCAGCUGCCCCAGCUGGUGUUCUUCAAGCAGACAAAGCUGUUAGGAGCACUUCUACUCCCCUGGAGGGUGCAUAACUGUAACUCUCUGAAGAUGAAGUGUUUGGAGUGUGUCCACUAAGUCAAGAGUGGAGGCCUUCAUCCUGUGAUUAAUAUCCUCUGGCUGUCCCUGCUUCUGCCCCCCAAGAAGCAACUGAUUCUGAAUACCUGGAUGAAGGGCUUCCGAGGAGAAAACAUUCCCACAACUCUGCAACAACCACAAAACAAACAUUUGAGCCGGAGACGGGGCUAGCGCUCGGAAACCCUGCUGCGCUCUGCUGCUGUUUCACAUAUGGUGUUUCUGGGAAGGGCCCAGAAACACUGAGGCCAUCGUCAGACUAGCUAUGGGAAAGAGAACCCACAAAUGGACUGAGCUCACGUGCAUCAUCUGUGACUCACUGAUCUGAUCACAUCUUACUGUUUUGCAAUGUUUUGAUUGGUUAGACAGAGAGAGCGAGGGAGAGGGAGAGGGAGAGGGAGAGAGAGAGAGAGAGAGAGAGAGAGAGAGAGAGAGAGAGAGAGAGAGAGAGAGAUUAAAAUUUAAUGGCUGUGUCAACACAAAAUAAAAAUAUCUACAGAAGAGGCUUGUUGGUCAGAAAGUAAGACUGGAAAGGCACUAGAGUGCUCCCCAUAUGAUUAGGCUGAUUCCUUGAGAACAUUAUACUGCCAUAGAGUUAGACUGAAGCAACAAUGUAUAAAUCUGUUAGGCAAUCCAAACAUUCUAUUAUAAUAAUAUUUAAUAUCCAAAUAUUUGAUAUUUAUCCAUGUUAUCCCCUAGAUGAAAACUAUGACUAAAAUGUACCACUUUAUAGAUCUUUUCAGAAGCAGUCACAUGUUCAUUGAUUUGCAAAAAGUAUAAUGUUGCCUAAAGGAGCUGUUGACAUCCUGUUGUUUUGCUGAAUGUUAUUGACCAUUUGUCUACAGCGCAAGCUGGGGUCAAAUCCUGGUCAACUUCCCCUCUCUGUACUCUGAGGAUACUUGUAUGUCGAUUUAUGUUUCUAUUCUGAAAUGUUUCUGAAUGCUUCUGGCUAAAGAGCUGUGCAUUAAUGUAUUUCCGUCUUUGUGGGAACUAUUAAGCUGUAAUUUUAUAAGAAUAUCAGCUGCUUCAAAAUAGUGUGUGGAAACUGGUAACUUUGUCAAAGUAUGUUUAACACUAAAAGACUGCAGAGAACGAAUCUGUGUGAUUCAAUGAAUGUGUCAAAUAUCUGUGUGCUGCCCCCCCCCCCCCCCUUCCCCCCAAAUACAUGAUUUCUGAAGCUUAGCAUAUGAUGUUAAGUAAAGCUGCUUAAAAUCCACUUGCUGAGUCUUGACAGUGAGAGCCUCAGGGUGAGGUGAGACACAGGAAACUGCUGUGGCAUUGUUCCAGAAAGCUAUUUAAUCUCCAUUGGUGAUGAUCUGACAUAUUUAUCUGUCAUAUGAAACGAAACAGACAUGUAAUAUCGCUGAGAUCACUUCUGACAAAUGAAUAAUCAAUCUGAGGACAUAAAUGUAAACCUUACCAGCAGGAUUGCAGUGGUCAUUACACACUUCCCCUUCAAACUACACCCUUUGGUGAAAACGUAUCCCAUUCAAUCCAAGAUUCCAAUGGUCAUUAUUCUAAUUAAUAGGUUUCAAUAUAUAUUUUACACAUUUAGUAUAUUUCAUGAGUUGUUGAUUUUUGAAGCCACAUUUUCGUUUCAGUAGUGUUCAGCUAAGACUGAGUGCUUCAGAAUCAGUGAUUAAAAUGGGUCAGAGACUAUGGUGGUAGCAGUUUAAUGAUCCUCAAGAUCCUCAUAUCCUCAAAAUCACUAUUAUACAGUCUCAUUUUGUUGACAGGCCAUUGCGUUCAUAAAAAGUAGGUUCUUUGAAUGUGUAAGUCUGGAAUACUAAUGAUACAACAAAUUGUGAUGACAAACCUUCAUAAUCGUAACCAAGCGCAGAAAGAUUUUGAUUCACAUAAUUCACAUUAUUUGGUAGAGCUGGAGCUUUUCUGGCCUCUUAAACAUGUUAAACUGGUUUAAAAGGAACAGAUGUAAAAUCUUGUAAUGAGAAACAGUGACACCAGCUAUCGCAUGAUGCAAAUAAAGUUUGUGUUGAUACUGGCA